This 248-nucleotide long non-coding RNA is filed under the name Mytilus galloprovincialis (Mediterranean mussel). The record is from RNAcentral. Lineage: Eukaryota; Metazoa; Mollusca; Bivalvia; Mytilida; Mytilidae.
CUAAAAUACUUUUAAUAAGUAUUUACGAAUUCUACUGAUGCAGUUAUAACAUUAAAACGUGCCCUUUUGUAAUUUUCAUGCCAUAAAUUAAAAAAGGAAAUCCCAUUUAAACUGUUUUUUUUUACACCAGAAAACAGGGACGUUCCCUGAAAGCAGGGAAUACAUGUAUCCCACAUUUCCUGACUUGUGCCCAACCUGUUCAAAGACAAAGCAGAUAGAUUUUAAAGCACGAUUCAGACCAUUUUUAC